AUAAAAGUGCAUCCCUUUAUAGAUUUAAAAAUCUAAGAGGUGUAAAAACUUUGAACCUGGAUUUUUAAAAUUCAUUCAACAAAUUUUUAUUGAGUACCUACUAUGGGCUGGUCUCUGUUUUGGUCAUUAGACAUGUAGCAAGAAAACAAAAAGCAGGAAUCCAUCUGGACAUGAGAGAUGAGAGCUCAGUUCUGGAUACCUACAUGAAGACCAGGCCAUGUCACCUGGGACUGAAAGGUCAAGGAAACAAAAAGAGGAAGUUUCCUGCUCUAGUUCUGGAUCUGGCCAUAGAAUGACUUUUUCUAAAUCUAUUGGAUUUCUUUUUUAAAAUUGUUAAAAAAAUAUGUAAAUAAACAGAGAUACGGAAAAAUAUACAAAACGAACACACAGCUGAAUGCAUUAUCAUUAGACCAUUUGGAUAAAGAAAUAGAUUUAUAUCCAGAACCCUCAAAGAUUCUCCAUGUGCUUCAGACCAUCAGAAUAACAUCCCUCACCACAAAAGUAACCACUUUCAUUUCUUUUAUAGGAGUCACUUUUUUUGUAUUUCUUUAGAGUUUUAUUGCCUAACUAUUCUAGUAACUAGAACAGAACACUGCAAAUAGCACACGCUUACUAAGUUUAACAAGUUAAGUCAUUGAUGUUGCAUUCUCAAGUGUGCAUUGUUAGACACCAUGUUUAGUCUUGCUCAUGUUUAGUUUUAUAAUUUUUUUAUGUUUUGAUGAAUUUGGGGUAUGUCUCUUAAGUCACGAUUUCUCUAUAGUUCCUCCUUCCAUCUCUUACUUUUCAUUGCAAUUUAUUCAUUGAAAAACUAGGCCCAUUUAGCCUGUAUUGUAAUAUUCUUCUAUCCUCUGUACUUCCCACAAUUUGGCAGCUGGAAUCGAGGUUUGAUUGGACUCAGGCUUCGUCCCUCUGGCAACACUACAAGUUGUGUCGUGUUCUUUUAUUAGAAGGUUGCUUUGAUAUACCUCCAUUUCAAGUGUUCCAGAUCCAAGCAGUUGACAGUAGUGAGAAUCAAAGGCCCAAAUAAAGAGAACUAAAUCAUGAUGAUUGUUUUUAAGGAGCGAAACCAAGAGUUUCUCUCUGGUUACCCAGGCUGGAGUGCAAUAGCAUGAUCUUGGCUCACCACAACCUCUGCCUCCUGGGUUCAAGUGAUUCUCCUGCCUCAGCCGCCCAAGUAGCUGGAAUUACAGGU
RNAcentral lists this long non-coding RNA (1192 nucleotides) under Callithrix jacchus (white-tufted-ear marmoset). RNAcentral's name for it is "lncRNA (ENSCJAG00000079044.1)". Lineage: Eukaryota; Metazoa; Chordata; Mammalia; Primates; Cebidae. The record is from RNAcentral.